AUUGAACGCUGGCGGCAGGCCUAACACAUGCAAGUCGAGCGGCAGCGACAAUAAAGAUUCUUCGGAUGAUUUAUUGGGCGGCGAGCGGCGGACGGGUGAGUAAUGGCUGGGAACCUGCCCUGAUGUGGGGGAUAACAGUUGGAAACGACUGCUAAUACCGCAUAACGUCUACGGACCAAAGAGGAGGACCUUCGGGCUUCUCGCGUCAGGAUGGGCCCAGUUGGGAUUAGCUAGUUGGUGAGGUAAUGGCUCACCAAGGCGACGAUCCCUAGCUGGUUUGAGAGGAUGAUCAGCCACACUGGAACUGAGACACGGUCCAGACUCCUACGGGAGGCAGCAGUGGGGAAUAUUGCACAAUGGGCGCAAGCCUGAUGCAGCCAUGCCGCGUGUGUGAAGAAGGCCUUCGGGUUGUAAAGCACUUUCAGUCGUGAGGAAGGGGUUAAUACCU
Molecule: ribosomal RNA, 448 nt
Filed under: uncultured bacterium
Lineage: Bacteria
Description: bacterial SSU rRNA
Rfam family: Bacterial small subunit ribosomal RNA
Source: RNAcentral